RNAcentral lists this ribosomal RNA (273 nucleotides) under uncultured bacterium. RNAcentral describes it as "partial 16S ribosomal RNA". It matches the Rfam family "Bacterial small subunit ribosomal RNA", at positions 523 to 796 of the family's 1533-position model. The record is from RNAcentral.
AUACGUAUGUCGCAAGCGUUAUCCGGAAUUAUUGGGCGUAAAGCGAGUCUAGGCGGCUUGUUAAGUCAGAUGUGAAAAUGCGGGGCUCAACUCCGUAUUGCGUUUGAAACUGGCAGGCUAGAGUACUGGAGAGGUGGGCGGAACUACAAGUGUAGAGGUGAAAUUCGUAGAUAUUUGUAGGAAUGCCGAUAGUGAAGACAGCUCACUGGACAGAUUCUGACGCUAAAGCUCGAAAGCGUGGGGAGCGAACAGGAUUAGAUACCCGAGUAGUCC